GCCCACCCCCAGCCCCAGUGCCAGAACACAGCCUGAACGGGGAAAACAGAAAGCACUUCUCCAUUUAUUACUGUCUUACAAACAUUGUAACAACGGCAAGAAUAAAGGUUAGAGGAGCCACCAGCAGCCGUUGCAUGUUCUCUUCGUCCUCAGUCAACAUCUCACCUGGCCAUGUUCUUUACAUGGCAGCAUGACUCAAACCUUCCUUCAAAAUUCAUUAGAAGCAUCAGCUCUGCCCUCCAGCUGUUCUGCUCCAGACUGUCAUCCCUGACAGCUGCUCUACAGGGUAUCACGGCACACACCGCAGUGCAUCCUGAUGUCUGGCUUCCGGGAACUCCAACGUGUCAACAGAAAAGAUGAUCCGAGAUGGGCCUAAUCAGAGAGAGGCACUAACUCUUGGAAGGCAGCUGCCAUGCUUUGAGGAAACCCAAAUUCUCCCACACAAAGAGACACAUG
Molecule: long non-coding RNA, 456 nt
Filed under: Equus caballus (horse)
Lineage: Eukaryota; Metazoa; Chordata; Mammalia; Perissodactyla; Equidae
Description: lncRNA (ENSECAG00000051898.1)
Source: RNAcentral